AUUGAGGCGCCAUUAGUGCCGUAGAGUAAGUGGACGGAAACGUGUUUAGUGUAGUUGGCGCUGCUUUCCAGUUAAGAGGUAACAGAUAUCCAGCAUGUCCUGGAAUCGGAUUACCAGUGGCAGCCGUUGGCUCUUCAUCACGCUGGGGCCAUGCUUGAAGGGAUGGAGGACUGAAGGCUACACUGAUAUCUGCUUAAUUGUGUAGUUUUCCUGAAUGGAGUAAAAGUUUAAAGUGGUUUGAUGCUUUUCAUUGGCUUUCCUUGUAAUUUCCGUAUAUCAGCUUUAAUAUUAAUCUGCAUGUUUGAAUUGACUAGUUUCUUUGGAUGUCUUUUGGAAUAAGAUUAUAGGUCAGUAAUGAGGUGUGUGUGUGUUUUAAAGGUACAGCAUGGUGCAGCUCCUCCAUAGUGGAACAAAGCAAAUGGUGAUUUUUUUUUUUUGUAUUUUUUGCAUGUAGUGUUUAAAUAAAGCACCAUUUCUGAAA
Molecule: long non-coding RNA, 481 nt
Organism: Brienomyrus brachyistius
Lineage: Eukaryota; Metazoa; Chordata; Actinopteri; Osteoglossiformes; Mormyridae
Exons: 2
Source: RefSeq, a predicted model, not a curated record